Rhododendron vialii is the source of this 2554-nucleotide long non-coding RNA. RefSeq lists it as uncharacterized. Lineage: Eukaryota; Viridiplantae; Streptophyta; Magnoliopsida; Ericales; Ericaceae. The record is from RefSeq and is a predicted model, not a curated record. The transcript is spliced from 7 exons.
AAACGCUUGCCAAUUUGCACCGCUUGCCAUUUUUUAGCUAAUUUUUCCAAUUGUGCCCCCGAUUGGGCAGCUGCUGGUUAUCAUGUCAAGGGUGAUUUCGUCUUUCUGCAAUAAAAGAAUUGGGUGCUCCCAGCCACACCUUCUGUCUUGGACACAGGAGACCCACGUGUGACUUUGGUAAAAGAGCAACUUCCCCUUUUUCUUUGUACUGCGCCAGUUUCUCUCCUCUCUCUCCGAAGUCCAGAGGUAAAUUUUCCUCCUCUGUAUCCGGAGAAGCAUGGCGGUACCAGAAGCAAGUAUUGUGGGCCUUGAGGCCAGUGCCGAGGCUCGUGGGUCUUGGCAGAGCAAGACGAUUGGGUAUUCCGGUGGUGUUGGCGGCUGAGACUGGUCGCGCGAGGUGAGAUUCUUCCCCGUUAAGGUUCACGCUUUUUUUUGACGAGCCGGAAGGUGCUCCUGUCGCCCACUUCUACCGCCUCCCUCUGUAGACCAUGUCCGCGGCUACACAACUGAUAAGACGUCGUCAUCUCUUGAUGAUUCAAACACUAACUGAUCUUCGUCCAAAAACUAAACCAUCAACAAGAUUUUGCUGAACAGUCUCUCUUGGUCGUCUCGGAUUAUCAACGGUCUCAUUCAGAGGUCUGGAACCCUCUCUCAAGAAUGAAAGUUAUUGUGCGAUGUCUUGCACUUUCCUUUCACAUUCGGGACGGCUCCUAGAAGGUAGAUUUGUUUUGUUUUAUGUACUGAUUAAUGUAGAUGUCAGUCGAAUUGAUGUACGUAUGAACUAAAAAAAAAAGCAGCCAUAAUUCCGUAAGAAGGAAUGAAAGCGUGGCCUGUUGGGCUAACCAAGUUUCUUGAACAGGCAUUUCAAUUCAACCCACCAAAAUCAAAGUUCAGAAAAAAUAUAGCAACGAUAGCCAGUAAAUUGACAAUGGAUCUGUGUAGUUGAACUUUCUCAUAUGAUCUACAGCCCAGUUUGAUUUGCUUGUCAUAACACUUCUAAGCAUUCUCUUACGGAUUGGGGAAAAAAUGAAUAGGUUCCAUUUGCGACAUAACAGAGAAAUCAACUGAAGUUUCACAUAUUCGUUUUUCCUUGAAUCAAGAAGUCCACGUGUAAUAUUUAGCUCACUUUUUGGUAAUACUUCUGAUUGGAUACAUUGAAGAAAACAAUUAGAAAAUUCAUGAUGUUGAAUGAGAGCUGGAAAAACUUUCCUUGGAGAUGAAGCUAAUAGAUGAAGAGGUUGGGUCAUUGUCAUAACUUGUUUUUAGAAAAUUGUUAAAUUCCUCUUCUUUUCUUCUUAUGGGUACAAUUAUGACGUUUAUGAUUGUUGCUCUAUUGUAUGGCCUAAGAGCAUCCACAGUGGAAUAAUCAAAAGUGGAUAAUCAAAAGGUGCCACAUCAUCUUUUGAUUAUUCAUUCAAGAGGUUGCUAAGGUUAGCAAUGUAGAGGUUCACAGUGGUACAAUCAAAAUUGAAUAAUCAAAACUUGCCACGUCACCUUUUUAACUUAUAAAAAUCUAGAAAUUGUGACAUAGAAAACAAUUUUUUUAAAAUAGUUUUCAAACUAAUAAAAAUAGGUUAUUAGAAAAAGAGAAAAUACUUUUUUGAAAACUUUGAUUAAAAAAAAAAUAGUUUUCUGGAAAAAGUUAAAAAAACAAUUUUUGAAUAGGAAAAGUUAUUUCUUUCAAAAGAACAGUUUUUGAAAAAAAGUUUUAAUAAAAAAACAGUUUAAAAAAAAUGCUGAAAAACAGUUUGAAUAAAAAAAGUGUAAAAAAACUGUUUUUGCAAAAAAAUAAAAACUGUUUUUAAAAGUAUUUAUGUUAUAAACAUGUUGAAAAUGGAAGAAAGAAAGUUUUUGUGUAAUGAUGGUAUACUUGAUUGAGAAAAUGUGAAGACAAUUAAAUUUGAUUAUUGGCAAAAGGUUGAUAGUUUUGAUUAUCCAAAGGCCAAAAUUUGAUGAGUUGCUAAGAUGUUUCUAAGUUUAGUUAUUCCAAUGUGAGCUCUUUUUGAGUAAAUGUUGCUAACUUUAUAAACCUUUUUGUUUUGAUUAUACCACUGUGAAUGCUCUAAGCUCUUGAACACAUGAGGAAGAAAAUUGAUUAGUCAACUGAGAGCAUUCGAGUUGCAAAGAUGAAGGAAGAACAAGCAAGAAAGGUGUGGGAGGCAGCAUUGUACGCUAUAAAGGAUGACGAAGCGAUUAAGUAGAAGCUAUGCGAAGAUUUGAACAAUCUGGUUCAAUAAAGUAACAACACUGAGUUUGCUAAACUGGAGGAGUUAAAAAGGCGAAUUGAAAAUUUCAACCCAAGCAAAUCAUCCAAUUCUGUACCUUAUGAUCAAAUUUAAUGUAAAAAUCAAGGAUGCAACUGGAUCCAUUGUUGCAACUGUAUUUGCAGAAAAGACAGAAGAGCUCUAUACCAUUACGGCAGCAGAAUUCACUGACAAUACAAGCAUUGUAUGUUACAAAGUAGAUAUCGUAGCAAAUCUUUUAGUUUGUAUAUAACGCCUUCAUCUAAUUAUAUAAUUUCCAGUGAUCCCUUAUUUAACUAGGCACAUCUCCA